This 83-nucleotide transfer RNA is filed under the name Mesocricetus auratus (golden hamster). It matches the Rfam family "tRNA". From Rfam's summary of the family: Transfer RNA (tRNA) molecules are approximately 80 nucleotides in length. Lineage: Eukaryota; Metazoa; Chordata; Mammalia; Rodentia; Cricetidae. The record is from Rfam by way of RNAcentral.
GUCAGGAUGGCCGAGCGGUCUAAGGCGCUGCGUUAAGGUCGCAGUCUCCACUGGAGGCGUGGGUUCGAAUCCCACUCCUGACA